AAGCAAGGCAUAUUUUCGGUGAAAUCUGCAUAUUAUGCACUCACUCACACACAAUCAGCUAUCUCAACCUCAACUGCAUCAACAUCACACCAAAUUCCUACCUGGUUAUGGCGCUCUAUCUGGAAAAUGCCUACUGCACCCAAAAUCCGAGUAUUUCUAUGGUCCAUCUGCAAUAAUGCCUUGGCGACGAGAGAAAACCUGUAUCGACGACACAUAUUAGACAGUCCUUGCUGCACAUUGUGUAAAAGCAAGACUCUAGAAACUUUAGAGCAUUUACUCUUACUCUGCUCGUGGACUCAACAGGUGUGGAAUCAUCCCCAGAUCCGGAUUUCAAUCCUUCCCAUUAACAUCCACCGUCUGGAUUCAUGGAUCGCUUCUACGAUUGGGACAGGAAAUCAAUUACCUCGGCUGGCCUUUAUUUCUCAUCUUUUGUGGCAAAUCUGGCGCGCUCGGAAUGCUUUCGUCUUCCGAGGUACUUAUCCCAAACCAUCUCAAGUUGUAGAAGCAGCACUGACUGGUGCUCAAGCGGAUCAAUCAUCUUCAGCCUCAAAUCUGCAUCAAAACAGUUUCGUCACAAACCGAUCUCAUCUAUGGCGUCCUCCAGAUCUUGGGGUAUUGAAAGUCAAUAUAGAUGGCUCAUUUCAUCAGGGCAGUAACAAAGGAUUGAUAGCUUGUAUUAGUAGGGAUCAUCAAGGCCGGCUUACCGAUGGGUUUUCCUUAGGGGUAGCGGCCGUCUCUGCUCUUCAGGUUGAGAUUCAAGCUCUAUCUUUCUCGCUUCGCCAUCUUCUGCACCAAGGACUUCAAACAGCAACAGUCGUCGUUGAAUCAGACAACCUUACUCUGGUCGAAACUCUGAACAGCCACUCACAGCCGCCAUGGACGGAUCGCUCUCUCUUCGCAGAGGCAGCUUUCCUCCUAACCCUAUUUCCCAAUCUCACGCUAGGGUUCUGCCGAAGAGAAGCGAAUUCCGUCGCUGACUGGGCUUGCAAGGCCCAUAAUCGUACCUCUUUGACUUGUAAUUGGGCUCUUAAUUCGCCCCCUGCUCUCUUGAACUUGUUAUGCGCUGAUGCACUAGCCGCGGGACGUAAGGGCUUUUCCUCUUA
RNAcentral lists this long non-coding RNA (1103 nucleotides) under Eucalyptus grandis. Its description in RNAcentral is "long non-coding RNA (EGRA_LNC001734)". Lineage: Eukaryota; Viridiplantae; Streptophyta; Magnoliopsida; Myrtales; Myrtaceae. The record is from RNAcentral.